GCAAUGCGUGGCGAACGGCUCAGUAACACGUAGUCAACAUGCCCAGGGGACGUGGAUAACCUCGGGAAACUGAGAUUAAACCGCGAUAGGUCAAGAUUUCUGGAAUGGAUUUUGGCUUAAAUCUACAUGGCCCCUGGAUUGGACUGCGGCCGAUCAGGCUGUUGGUGAGGUAAUGGCCCACCAAACCUAUAACCGGUACGGGCUCUGAGAGGAGAAGCCCGGAGAUGGGCACUGAGACAAGGGCCCAGGCCCUAUGGGGCGCAGCAGGCGCGAAACCUCUGCAAUGGGCGAAAGCCUGACAGGGUUACUCUGAGUGAUUUCCGCUAAGGAGAUCUUUUGGCAGCUCUAAAAAUGGUGCAGAAUAAGGGGUGGGCAAGUCUGGUGUCAGCCGCCGCGGUAAUACCAGCACCCCGAGUGGUCGGGACGAUUAUUGGGCCUAAAGCAUCCGUAGCCGGUUGUGCAAGUCCUCCGUUAAAUCCAGCCGCUCAACGGAUGGGCUGCGGAGGAUACUACAGGACUAGGAGGCGGGAGAGGCAAGCGGUACUUAGUGGGUAGGGGUAAAAUCCUUUGAUCCAUUGAAGACCACCAGUGGCGAAGGCGGCUUGCCAGAACGCGCUCGACGGUGAGGGAUGAAAGCUGGGGGAGCAAACCGGAUUAGAUACCCGGGUAGUCCCAGCUGUAAACGAUGCAGACUCGGUGAUGGGCUAGCCUCGUGUCAGCCCAGUGCCGCAGGGAAGCCGUUAAGUCUGCCGCCUGGGGAGUACGGUCGCAAGACUGAAACUUAAAGGAAUUGGCGGGGGAGCACCACAAGGGGUGAAGCCUGCGGUUCAAUUGGAGUCAACGCCGGG
This 848-nucleotide ribosomal RNA is filed under the name uncultured archaeon. Its description in RNAcentral is "bacterial SSU rRNA". It matches the Rfam family "Archaeal small subunit ribosomal RNA", at positions 71 to 922 of the family's 1478-position model. The record is from RNAcentral.